Molecule: ribosomal RNA, 492 nt
Filed under: uncultured bacterium
Lineage: Bacteria
Description: partial 16S ribosomal RNA
Rfam family: Bacterial small subunit ribosomal RNA
Source: RNAcentral
AGUGAACGCUGGCGGUAGGCCUAACACAUGCAAGUCGAACGGCAGCACAGUAAGAGCUUGCUCUUACGGGCGGCGAGUGGCGGACGGGGGAGGAAUACACCGGAAUCUACUUUUUCGUGGGGGCUAAUGUAGGGAAACUUACGCUAAUACCGCAUACGACCUACGGGUGUAAGCAGGGGAUCUUUGGACCUUGUGCGAUUGAAUGAGCCGAUGUCGGAUUCGCUAGUUGGCGGGGUAAAGGCGCACCACGGCGACGAUCCGUAACUGGUAUGAGAGGGUGAUCCGCCAGAUUGGAAGUGAGGCACGUUACAGACACCGACGGUGAGAAGCAGUGGGGAAUAUUGGACGAUGGGCGCAAGGCGGAUCCAGCCCAACCGCGUGGAUGAUGAAGGACUUAUGCUUGUAGAGUCAUGUUGUUGGGAAAGAAAAACAGCAGUUUAAUCCCCCGCUGUUAUGACGGUACCCAAAGAAUAAGCACCGGCUAACUUCGUG